RNAcentral lists this long non-coding RNA (516 nucleotides) under Homo sapiens (human). Its description in RNAcentral is "HSALNT0395664". The record is from RNAcentral. Lineage: Eukaryota; Metazoa; Chordata; Mammalia; Primates; Hominidae.
AUCGCGCCACUGCAUUCCAGCCUGGCGACAGAGCGAGACUCCUCAAGGUGCAUCCAAAAAAAGAAAGACCAGAGGACCCAGCAAUGCUACCUCUGGAUGCACACACACGAGGACAGACAGGAGGGACUCAAACAGAAGCUUGCACACGCAGGUGCACAGCGGCACGACUGCCAACAGCCACAAGGUGGAAACCACCCAGACGUCCAUCGAUGAUAGAUGGAUCAACACAGCGUGGCCCAUCCACACAGUGGAAUAUUACUGAACCACGAAAAGGAAGGGAAUCCGGACAUGGGCUUCAGCGUGGAUGCACCUUGAGGACAUCAUGCUCAGUGAGAGAUGCCAGAGACACAGAAGGACACACCCCGCAUGGUUCCACUCCUAGGAGGUCCAUAGAGCUGUCAGAUUCAGGGAGACAAAAGGAAAAAAUAACUGAAGGAAGGCUGCAGAGGUCCCACAUCCGCAGCUUACAGAAACGGAGGCCCGGAGGGCAUGAUGUCCCCACAGGUGCCCUGGAAG